RNAcentral lists this long non-coding RNA (3501 nucleotides) under Mus musculus (house mouse). RNAcentral describes it as "long non-coding RNA chr9:58349306-58352807". Lineage: Eukaryota; Metazoa; Chordata; Mammalia; Rodentia; Muridae. The record is from RNAcentral.
GCUCUGGUUCACUUGUCUCUUCUCAGCCAUAAAACCCCUGUGGAUGGAUGGCAGUCUCACAUUCCAGUAACCCAGUGAAACAAAACUCUAGAAACUUAUAAUUAAAGUCAAAUUUAUAUAUCAAUAAAUUCUCAAUUCACAAGAUGCCCAUAUAAUAAUUUCAGAGCCAAUUGAUAAUGAUAAAAGCUGCCCACCAAGAUAAGACAAGUUAUCCCAAUUAGUCUAUUCUUUAUGAUAUCAUAUCUACCUGUGGGUAUUUAAUGCUACAUGGAAUCUAAAUCUUCUUCCUCUCCCUCAACUUUUCUUUCUCUCACUCUUCUCUCUCUCUCUCUCUCUCUCUCUCUCUCUCUCUCUCUCCCCCCAACCACCCCCCCCGUUCCAUUCUCCAACUCUUAGCUCUACCUCCCUUUCCCUGUCCAAUCACAGGCCUCCUGCUGCGCUAAUAUUUAAGCUAAUUGGACAGGGGAAAUCCUGCCACAGGUACUACCUGUCUUAGAUACGGUUUUGUUGCUGUGAAGAGGCACUGUGACCAAGGCAACUCUGAUAAAGGUUAACAUUUAAUUGGGGCUUGCUUACAGUUUCAGAGGGUUAGUCCAUUAUCAUCAUGGUGGGAAGCAUGGCAGCAUCCAGGCAGACAUGGUGCUAGAGACUGAGAGUUCUACAUCUUGAUCUGCAGGCAGCAAGGAGGAGACUGUCUAGACAUAGCUUAAGUAUAGGAGACCUCAAAGCCCACCCCCACAGUAACACACUUCCUCCAAGACCACACCUACUUCAACAAGGCCACACCUCCUAAUAGUGCCACUCCCUGUGGGCCAAGCAUUCACACACAUGAAUCUGUGAAAGCCAUACCUAUUCAAACCAUCAUACUACCUAACUUCCUUUUUAACCUCUUGUAGGGCCUAGGGUCUUCCCUGCUAAGCAGGAAGGAUGCAGUCUAGGCCAAGGAGCUCUGGGGGUGCAGAUUAGCAUCUUGGAUGGCACCUAGGACUGAGCUUGGACAGGAUGUAUGAUGAAACCUCUGUAGAACUGUACCCGACUGUGAGCUAGGGCCCUAGAAUUAGCAUGGUCUUUACCCAGGAGGUCCUAGGACAACCUUAGUGGACAAACUAAGGGCUUAGCUCCCAGGUCAUAAACCUCAAGUUCCACAGCUGCUAUGGGACUUGUGAGAGAGCCACCAGUCUAUAGGACAGUCAGUACGGUCAGGAUGAGCACCAGAAACCAGAAGAAAACAGGUGUGGAUUAUGAAGACAAAAUACCAAAAAAAACUAUCAAAGUUUUAUGGGUGACUUUAUAUUGAUUACCCGUUGAAGUAAUAUUUUGUAUAUUCUGGAUGAGAUAACUGUAUCUCCUUGUUUCUCUACUUUUUGUUUAGACAGAGUCUUGCUGUGUGGUCUAGGCUGGCAUAUCCUUACUGCCUCAGUUCUCCAAAAGCUGAGAUUGUGGGCCUGUCCCACCAUGUCUGGCUGGUUUUGCUUUUUAAAUAUUACAAUUAAAUUUUAUUUUAUUUUUUCACAUUUGUUUCUGUGGAGCAUAGCUGGUCUUAGGUUUGAAAGGCAUCAGAGAGGCCUUUGGUUGGUUUUUCAUAGUGGGAAGCAGGUCGUAGACACUUGCUUUCAUCUCUAGAUCCACCCUGAUCUGACUGUGGCCAGUAGCCAGGAUCUCCUUGCAGCCCUGUGGUCAGGGGUAAGACUGUUGUAGUGGCUCCCUUUUCCUGGGAGAACAGCCCUUCCCUAUGAUCCUGCUCUCUUCAAACCACCCCCCAGGGGAAUGGGCCACCAUUUGGGCCCUUAAGAUAAAGUUUAUUGUCACGGUGAAAUACAGGUGGUAGUGGGAGAGGUGGAUGAAGGAAGGGAGAGAGAGAGAGAGAGAGAGAGAGAGAGAGAGAGAAAGGAGGAAGACGUGGUCCUCACUGAACAUACUCAUGGACUCUGGGGCUGUGAAAAAUCCACGGGAUCCUGAAGUUGCAUUUGCCCUAAGCACCCUUUCCUGCAGCCAAAGCAGGUGACACCAAUAGAUCCCUUCUCCCCAACCCCCAAUGCAACUCUAACCUAGGUAAUAAGUUUUCCUCCCCUUCUGUUCUACACUGGGUAAGGUUGACCCAGUGACUCUCAAAAACCCUUGGCAGGGGCUGGGGGUGAGGAGGGCAGGCCCUCUUUUCUGGUGGAGUCUGGUGCUUGUGGAGGAGAACCACCCUUUGCAGAAUGUCACGUGGAAAUGCAGGUUCCUCAGAAAUGAGAGCCUUACGUACAGAACCUCCUUACUGUGGGAGUCUACCAGGUCCUUUGCUGUUGCUUUUGGGAUGCUUUGAGACACUCCUGAAGUGUCAUCUGGCUGUGAUGGUUAGCUUUGGGUAGCAAUUAGACUACUGAAGCUAGACUCUUCCUGCAGGUUUGAACAUCAGAACUGCAGGCUCAGUGGUCGUGAGACUCUAGGACUUACACCAUGACCUCUGGUUUUUAGCCUGAGAGCAUCAGAAUAAAUUACACCAUUGACUUCCAUGGUUUGGGCCUUCCAGCUUGGACUAAGCCAUACCGUCAGUGUCCUAGGGCCUUCAGAUGGCCCCGUCAUGAGACUAAGCAGGCACCACACCAUUCUUCUCCGUGACUUUCCUCACCCUUACAGUGACAUCCUUGCCAUGACGGUGGUAAUUAACAUGACCUCUAUCAUCUCUUCCUUGUGUUUGAGGAAACCCAGUAGAGGUGAUCACUCAAACAGUUUAUAGCCAAUUGAAAAUCUUUAUUGGGAUUACCUUCAGGUAGUCAGGACCCAAGUCUAGUGCCAAGUGUUUAGGGUAAGGGGUUUUUAAAGGGGAAAACCACAUCCUGGUAUCCUGCUUAGCAAGCAAGCAGUUCAACAGAAGCUAAGUUAGCUGGUGCAUCUCAACCCUGGGUCCUAGAAUAGAGUUGGGUAAUAUUCCAUGGGGUUCCUCCAUCAAGGAGAUCAGAUUCAUGUUAAACCAAAAAUGGCCUCAGCAAGAAAACAAGAUGGAGGAACCUCUUCAUGGUCUUGCCCUGGCACAUUUGCCCAUAGCACCUUACCUCUCACCUGCUAUCCUGUUACCAUAACCUGUACCAGUACUGCCUCUGUUCUCGUACCCAUUACCAUCCCUCAACUCCCCUUACCUCUGUGGUCACCAUUUCUACUGCUCACAUCACCACCAUCACCAAAAACUUCACCUCUACUUCCACCCAGGCCAUCUUCUCAGCCACACACUUCUCAGCUUACGAUGGGCCUAUGCCAUGACAAGCCUUAUAAACUGAAAAGUCCUAACGUGAAAAGGCAUCUACAUUUAAUGUAUGGACCAUCACACUUUAGGGAUGCAGUAGAAGAGGAUGUGCUGUGGCCUAUGGGUAGCCUGAGAAGAAACGAAAAUGUAAAAUGCAGCCAGGUCUGUUGGUGAAGACACAUAAUCUCACCUACUUGGGCAACUGAGGCAAAAAGAUUUUAAGUUUAAGGAGAGCCUGGGUGACCUAGAUAGACCCUGUCUUUAAAAAAUAAAAU